GACGAACGCUGGCGGCGUGCUUAACACAUGCAAGUCGAACGGAAAGGCCCUGCUUUUGUGGGGUGCUCGAGUGGCGAACGGGUGAGUAACACGUGAGUAACCUGCCCUUGACUUUGGGAUAACUUCAGGAAACUGGGGCUAAUACCGGAUAGGAGCUCCUGCUGGAUGGUGGGGGUUGGAAAGUUUCGGCGGUUGGGGAUGGACUCGCGACUUAUCAGCUUGUUGGUGGGGUAGUGGCUUACCAAGGCUUUGACGGGUAGCCGGCCUGAGAGGGUGACCGGCCACAUUGGGACUGAGAUACGGCCCAGACUCCUACGGGAGGCAGCAGUGGGGAAUAUUGCACAAUGGGCGGAAGCCUGAUGCAGCAACGCCGCGUGCGGGAUGACGGCCUUCGGGUUGUAAACCGCUUUCGCCUGUGACGAAGCGUGAGUGACGGUAAUGGGUAAAGAAGCACCGGCUAACUACGUG
This 468-nucleotide ribosomal RNA is filed under the name uncultured bacterium. RNAcentral's name for it is "partial 16S ribosomal RNA". It matches the Rfam family "Bacterial small subunit ribosomal RNA", at positions 28 to 507 of the family's 1533-position model. The record is from RNAcentral.